CGUUGAAACACCGGUUUUCAUAUAAUAACCCAAGUUAAGCAACGUCGAGUCUGGUUAGUACCUAGAUGGGUGAUCUCUUGAGAAUACCAGGUGCUA
This is a non-coding RNA of Acanthosepion pharaonis, 96 nucleotides long. Lineage: Eukaryota; Metazoa; Mollusca; Cephalopoda; Sepiida; Sepiidae. The record is from the annotation of a GenBank genome assembly.